UACGGGGGGAGCAAGCGUUGUUCGGAUUUACUGGGCGUAAAGGGCGCGUAGGCGGCCACCGCAAGUCGACUGUGAAAUCUCCGGGCUUAACCCGGAAAGGUCAGCCGAUACUGCGCGGCUAGAGUGCAGAAGGGGCAACUGGAAUUCUCGGUGUAGCGGUGAAAUGCGUAGAUAUCGAGAGGAACACCUGCGGCGAAGGCGGGUUGCUGGGCUGACACUGACGCUGAUGCGCGAAAGCCAGGGGAGCGAACGGG
RNAcentral lists this ribosomal RNA (254 nucleotides) under uncultured bacterium. RNAcentral's name for it is "partial 16S ribosomal RNA". It matches the Rfam family "Bacterial small subunit ribosomal RNA", at positions 524 to 776 of the family's 1533-position model. The record is from RNAcentral.